UAAGGAAUAUUGCGCAAUGGGGGAAACCCUGACGCAGCAACGCCGCGUGGAGGAUGACACUUUUCGGAGCGUAAACUCCUUUUAUCAGGAAAGAAUAAUGACGGUACCUGAUGAAUAAGCACCGGCUAACUCCGUGCCAGCAGCCGCGGUAAUGCGGGGGGUGCAAGCGUUACUCGGAAUCACUGGGCGUAAAGGACGCGUAGGCGGAUUAUCAAGUCUUUUGUGAAAUCUAGUGGCUUAACCACUAAACUGCUUAGGAAACUGAUAGUCUAGAGUAGGGGAGAGGUAGAUGGAAUUCUUGGUGUAGGGGUAAAAUCCGUAGAGAUCAAGAAGAAUACCCAUUGCGAAAGCGAUCUGCUGGAACCUAACUGACGCUGAGGCGUGAAAGCGUGGGUAGCAAACAGG
RNAcentral lists this ribosomal RNA (405 nucleotides) under bacterium. RNAcentral's name for it is "partial 16S ribosomal RNA". It matches the Rfam family "Bacterial small subunit ribosomal RNA", at positions 355 to 776 of the family's 1533-position model. The record is from RNAcentral.